RNAcentral lists this ribosomal RNA (515 nucleotides) under uncultured archaeon. RNAcentral describes it as "bacterial SSU rRNA". It matches the Rfam family "Archaeal small subunit ribosomal RNA", at positions 345 to 859 of the family's 1478-position model. The record is from RNAcentral.
AACCUUUACACUGCACGACAGUGCGAUAGGGGGACUCCGAGUGCGGGGGCAUAGAGCCCUCGCUUUUGUACACCGUAAGGUGGUGUACGAAUAAGAACUGGGCAAGACCGGUGCCAGCCGCCGCGGUAAUACCGGCAGUUCGAGUGAUGGCCGAUUUUAUUGGGCCUAAAGCGUUCGUAGCUGGCCGAUCAAGUCUGUCGGGAAAUCUGCUCGCCUAACGAGCAGGCGUCCGGCGGAAACUGUUCGGCUUGGGACCGGAAGACCUGAGGGGUACGUCCGGGGUAGGAGUGAAAUCCUGUAAUCCUGGACGGACCACCGGUGGCGAAAGCGCCUCAGGAGAACGGAUCCGACAGUGAGGGACGAAAGCUAGGGUCUCGAACCGGAUUAGAUACCCGGGUAGUCCUAGCUGUAAACGAUGCCCGCUAGGUGUGGCGCAGGCUACGAGCCUGCGCUGUGCCGUAGGGAAGCCGAGGAGCGGGCCGCCUGGGAAGUACGUCUGCAAGGAUGAAACUUAA